UAAGCCUGGAGACACUUUGGCUCUCAAACUUUAAUUUGUUGUAAUUUUUUAUUCGAACUUUUAGAAUGUAGAUGUGAUAUAAUAGUAUUGUGAUUAAUAAUACGCUAAUAAUUAAGAUGCCACAUUACUUUUAUAUCAACGGCCGUUAAAAUUUAUCCAACUAUAUUAAAUUGUGGGACUUAAUUGUAAUAAUUUUAAAAGUUCGAAUAAGAAAUUAUAAUAAAUUUAAAAUUUAAGGACUAGAUUGUGGGACUUGUUGUUGAGCUCCACAUGUAUUU
This 278-nucleotide long non-coding RNA is filed under the name Ananas comosus (pineapple). RNAcentral describes it as "long non-coding RNA (ACOM_LNC018464)". The record is from RNAcentral. Lineage: Eukaryota; Viridiplantae; Streptophyta; Magnoliopsida; Poales; Bromeliaceae.